GGGCUGGAGCUCAGUGGUAGAGCGCUUGCCUAGCAUGUGUGAGGCACUGGGUUAGAUCCUCAGCACCACA
RNAcentral lists this transfer RNA (70 nucleotides) under Marmota monax (woodchuck). RNAcentral describes it as "tRNA.Ala". Lineage: Eukaryota; Metazoa; Chordata; Mammalia; Rodentia; Sciuridae. The record is from RNAcentral.